Molecule: ribosomal RNA, 433 nt
Filed under: uncultured bacterium
Lineage: Bacteria
Description: partial 16S ribosomal RNA
Rfam family: Bacterial small subunit ribosomal RNA
Source: RNAcentral
AACGAACGCUGGCGGCAUGCCUAACACAUGCAAGUCGAACGAGACCUUCGGGUCUAGUGGCGCACGGGUGCGUAACGCGUGGGAACCUGCCCGUAGGUUCGGAAUAACUCCCCGAAAGGGGUGCUAAUACCGGAUAAUGUCUUCGGACCAAAGAUUUAUCGCCUUUGGAUGGGCCCGGGUUGGAUUAGCUAGUUGGUAGGGUAAAAGCCUACCAAGGCGACGAUCCAGAGCUGGUGUGAGAGGAUGACCAGCCAGGCUGGGAAUGAGACACGGCCCAGACUCGUACGGGAGGGAGCAGAAGAGUAUACUGGAGACGGGGCGAUAGCGUGAUACAGCCACGCCGGGUAUGUGAGGCAGGGGUUAGGGUUGUAAAUCUCUCUUAGCCGAGGUGAUAAUGACGGUACCGGGUGAAGAAGCUCCGGCUAACUCCGUG